AACCCAUGGUGAGGGAACCUUCUCAAAAGGUCAUUGUAUCUCUCCCAUGCAUCGUAGAGUGUUUCUAAAUCCAUUUGCACAAAGGAAGAAAUGUCAUUCCUUAACUU
This is a non-coding RNA of Gossypium hirsutum (cotton), 107 nucleotides long. NCBI's taxonomy places the organism in Eukaryota, Viridiplantae, Streptophyta, Magnoliopsida, Malvales, Malvaceae. The record is from Rfam.